RNAcentral lists this ribosomal RNA (330 nucleotides) under uncultured eukaryote. RNAcentral's name for it is "partial 18S ribosomal RNA". It matches the Rfam family "Eukaryotic small subunit ribosomal RNA", at positions 1470 to 1796 of the family's 1831-position model. The record is from RNAcentral.
CCCUUAGAUGUUCUGGGCCGCACGCGCGCUACAAUGAUGCAUUCAACGAGUCUAAAACCUGGUCUGAUAGGGCUGGGUAAUCUUUUGAAUGUGCAUCGUGAUUGGGAUAGAUGAUUGCAAUUCUUCAUCUUCAACGAGGAAUGCCUAGUAAACGCAAGUCAUCAGCUUGCAUUGAUUACGUCCCUGCCCUUUGUACACACCGCCCGUCGCUCCUACCGAUUGAAUGUUCCGAUGAAUACCAUGGACUGAGAGUAUGAAUGGGUUCGCCUAUUUCUGCUUCUCGGGAAGUGGAGUAAAUCUUAACAUUUAGAGGAAGGAGAAGUCGUAACA